AUCCCUUGGAAUCAAUAUCUAACAUCGUCUCAUUAUAGAUCUUGGGAUCAUUCCUAAUGUCUCUAUCUCCCAUAUGGAACACUUCCUCUAGAUCCUCUAUAAGAAUACUAAAGUACUUUUUAGGAGGAUGGGAGACCUUACUUAAUUUACGAGAUGGAGGAGGUACCAUAUAUACUAGCUCACUAUUGGGUUUAGAAUUUUGGACUCG
RNAcentral lists this long non-coding RNA (208 nucleotides) under Elaeis guineensis (African oil palm). RNAcentral describes it as "long non-coding RNA (EGUI_LNC051806)". Lineage: Eukaryota; Viridiplantae; Streptophyta; Magnoliopsida; Arecales; Arecaceae. The record is from RNAcentral.